This is a non-coding RNA of Ceratobasidium sp. 423, 72 nucleotides long. Lineage: Eukaryota; Fungi; Basidiomycota; Agaricomycetes; Cantharellales; Ceratobasidiaceae. The record is from the annotation of a GenBank genome assembly.
GCCCUUAUAGCUCAGUGGUAGAGCGCAUCACUAGUAAUGAUGAGGUCCUCUGUUCGAUCCAGGGUGAGGGCA